Molecule: long non-coding RNA, 3503 nt
Organism: Lagopus muta (rock ptarmigan)
Lineage: Eukaryota; Metazoa; Chordata; Aves; Galliformes; Phasianidae
Exons: 4
Source: RefSeq, a predicted model, not a curated record
UUCUUUCCAAUUGGCUUGGCUGUGAUAAAGCCAGCAAACGGCUAGCUUUUAUUCCGCGAUCAUUCUGAUCUAAAAUUCUUUGUGUGCCAGCUACAUAGCUGAAAUUUCUGGUUAUUGUAAGUACGGGGGUGAAUCCUGCCCUCUGAUGUAUGCACAAGUUCCAUUUUCCUUUAGGAUCAUUUGGGUUAAUGUACAUGUAUGUCAGGACAGAGUUUGAUAUUAUUCCUGUGGAACAGCGAACAACGUUAGGUCAAACACGCCGGUUUCAUUUAAUACUAAGCAUGUUUAAGAAGAAAUGUCAGAGUUCAGUUCCGCUGGCUCGUGAUGUAAGUCAGGAAUUACUGAAGCCAGACACCUACCCUGCUCUUACACCAGUUUUGCACUAGGAUUACUUCACUGAAAUAAAUCAGCUCUUUAACAGGAAUCCACCGUACUGAUAUAUGAGCAGUUCAUAAACUUUAUGCAAACAAGGAAAUCAUGUUACACAGGCCAUGGGUGGGGAAGGAUACACACUGCCAGGGUUCAGCAUAACUCUGCUUCUCACACACCUGAAUGGAGCAGAGGAAUUGCACGCCGUGAGUGCCUGUUUCCAUCAGUAAAGUACUCGGACUAAAAGCAAGGAGCAGAACAUUCCAGCUGCAAUGCUGCCUCCAAGUCACCCCAACACAUGCCAAGCAAUUAUCACAUCCCAUUUCUGGAUGUUCCAGAGGCUUUCAGAAUUAUCCAGCACACUGAAGAGGAGCUGGCUGAAUCACCUGCACCCUUUAGCUGCUCAUGCAUGUAGAUGUUGCAAAAAGGAAUUGAAUUUAUAGUUAUGGGCAGCCUUUAGGAUUUAGGCAGAAGCUCCAUGGAUUCCACUCCUUACAUGCAGGAGUUGCAUCUGUUUUAAAAGUAAAGAGUUGCCUGCACGUAGAAUCAUAGAAUCAUUAAGAUUGGAAGGACCACUUUAAGAUCAUCUAGUCCAACCAUCCGCCUAUGCCUGUGACCACUCUAAACCACGUUCCUCAGUGUUAUACCUACCCUUUUCUUGAACAUCUCCAGAGAUGGUGACUCCACCAUCUCCCUAAGCAGCCUGUUCCAGUGCAUCACCACUCUUCUUGAAAAGAUUUUCCCUAAUAUCUGACCUGAACCUCUCCUGGCACAACUUGAAGACAUUACCUCUCAUCCUAUCUCUUUUAUCUGGAAGAAGAGGCCAACCCCCAGCUUGCUACAACGUCCUUGCAAGUAGUAGUAGAGAGCAAUAAGGUCUCCCCUGUGCCUCCUGUUCUCCAGACUGAGUAAUCCCAGUUCCCUCAGGCACUCCCCAUGAGACCUGUGCUUCAGAACCUUCAUGGCUUUGUUGCCAUUUUCUGGACAAUCUCCAGGGCCUUGAUGUCUUUGUUGUAAUGUGGAGCCCAAAACCAAACACAGUACUUGAGAUGUGACUUCACCAAUGCUGAGUACAGACGUGAUGCCCAUCAAACAUGGGAUAAAGAAUAAAUAAAUCACAGGCUGGGAAUCAGCAGCAAGAAGAAUGUCUUGAAAUUGGUGAUGAGAGUAGAGUUUCUUGGAGAUUCCUGCAUAUCAGGCCCAUGUCAACACAAUUCAGGGCAAUGAAAUGCAAUGGCAUGUGCACAGGUUUCCUAUUGCAUGGACCUGAUGGUCAUCCUUAGUUCAUAACCCAACCUCCCACAUGGAUCCUCCGUGUACUAGACAGUCUGGUGCCAAGACCAUUGUGCUCCUCACAGAGCCAGCCUGGUAUCUUGCCUUGAUUCAAAAAUACUUUUAGGAAGAAAGGCACAAGACAUUUGCUCUAUGUCCUCCAUCUACUUGGCUCCUUUCGAAGCCAGUCCUCCUUAAGGUGCUGUUUCCAGGGUGGUGAUCUGAAAGUAAUCACUGUGGAGAAAACAUAGCCAAAGCCAGCUCCUAUUGUGCAGGUGAGUGAUCUAAGGAACCCGGGAAGCCGUUGACAAAGAAGGGCUAAGAGGAGUCACACAUACAGUGGUGUGGCACUUGUCAGGCCCAGCGCAGCCGCCUGUAGUCUGAAGGUCUGCAGCAGAGCUGAUUGCCCUAUGCUCCCUUCGUGCUCAGCAGAUGGAAAUAAGAACUUCUAGGUGGUUCAUUUGACAAGUGGAUGUAAAAUGGGUCAGAUGGUAGGUAAAUCUACUUUCUGUCCAUUAACUUAAACUGCAAGUUAGGAAAUGAGACGUUGGUGUUUUGGUUUUUUUUAUUGGUGGUUUUGGGGUUUGGGCUUUUUUUGUUGUUGUUUACUUAGUUUUGUUUUAGUUUUUAACAAAGCCCCAGCAAUAUCUUUUUUCUAUAACUUAUUUUUCAAGAACACACACAUAAAAACUGUGGAUUGCACACGUUAUGUUGUGCAGACAAGUUUUCAGAAAGGGUAAGAAUUGUUUUUGACAUGGAAGAGCCAUUUUGGGGAACCUGGAUCACUAGAUAGUUUCAUGAUAUGGAAGAAAAGAAAAGAACUGGAAUAAAAAGUAUUGAAGAAAGCUAAAAAAAUCACAUCCAGCUUUAACUAGGAAACUUUCAGAUACCCCUCUGUGCGCAUCAGUUAGAUCAGCAGUCUAACUGUAAUAGAGAUUCUUGACAUCAACAGUAACAAAUAACACAGCGCUUCCUCCAGCUAAGCUGAUGCUCAGCAUCAGCUGUGCAGUUCCUCCGUGUGAUUCUUCCUAUGACAGCUGUGGCACAAGUACAGCAGCAAUCACCAGAUGGCACUGUUACAGCUUCUUUAUGAGUAAUUUUAACGGUCUCACGAGGAGCUGUUGCAAGUAGCAGAAAGAUCAAUUUCAGUCUUAGCAUAUUAAUCAUAUUUAGUAUAUAAGAAUUCGUUUGGGAGUUUUCUUUCUUCCUUUCUUCCUUUCUUUCCUUCUUUCUUUCCUUCUUUCUUUCCUUCUUUCUUUCCUUCUUUCUUUCUUUCUUUCUUCCUUUCUUUCUUCCUUUCUUUCUUCCUUUCUUUCUUCCUUUCUUUCCUUCUUCCUUUCUUCCUUCCUUUCUUUCCUUCUUUCUUUCUUCCUUUCUUCCUUUCUUUCCUUCUUCCUUUCUUUCCUUCUUCCUUUCUUUCCUUCUUCCUUUCCUUCUUCCUUUCCUUCUUCCUUUCCUUCUUCCUUCUUUCCUUCCUUCCUUCCUUCCUUCCUUCCUUCCUUCCUUCCUUCCUUCCUUCCUUCCUUCCUUCCUUCCUUCCUUCCUUCCUUCCUUCCUUCCUUCCUUCCUUCCUUCCUUCCUUCCUUCCUUCCUUCCUUCCUUCCUUCUUUUUCCUAGGAGUCCGACGUUGAUGCUUGGGUUGAAGUUCUUGACAGCAAUCAUUUAUGACAGUGCUGUUUGUGACAAGGUCCUGUCAAGACUGAUUUAUGCAGUAAAAUUAAAUAAGCAACAUUAAAAAUAAACCCUGAUGUGCCUUACUAAUUUAUCCUAUAUAACAAAUGAUAUAUUAAGGCCUGAAAUCCUCUGCAUCUGAACAGACGGGCCACAUUAUCAUGGCAUUCUCUUGUAAAUAGAUUUAUGAA